GACGUGGGGGGCCAGCGUUGCUCGGAGUUACUGGGUGUAAAGGGUUCGUAGGCGGUGUAGCAAGUCGGGAGUGAAAUCUCUGGGCUUAACCCAGAGGCUGCUUUCAAAACUGCCGUGCUCGAGUGCGGGAGAGGCCAGUGGAAUUGCAGGUGUAGCGGUGAAAUGCGUAGAUAUCUGCAGGAACACCCGUGGCGAAGGCGGCUGGCUGGACCGCAACUGACGCUGAGGAACGAAAGCUAGGGGAGCAAACAGG
This 253-nucleotide ribosomal RNA is filed under the name uncultured bacterium. RNAcentral's name for it is "partial 16S ribosomal RNA". It matches the Rfam family "Bacterial small subunit ribosomal RNA", at positions 524 to 776 of the family's 1533-position model. The record is from RNAcentral.